CUGUAUAGUCCUUGGGGUCUCAAAGAGUUGGACACGACUGAGCGACUUUCGCUUAUAGUUGAUUUACAAUGCUGUGUUAGUUUCAAGUGUAUAGCAAAGUAAAUCAGUUAUACAUGUACAUAUUUCAGGUUUGUAAGAUUCUUGUCCUAUACAGGUGAUUAAAUAAUACUGAGUAGAAUUCCCUAUGCUAUAUAGUAUGUGUUUGUUAGUUAUCUCUUUUAUAUAUAGUAGUAUGCAUAAUGGGCAGUGCUAAUAGAGAAUAUUUCCAUUGUUGAAGAAAAUGUCAUCAGUGAGGAAACUUGAAACACUUUGAAUAACAUUUAGUGUUGAGUAGUAGAUGACUCUAUCUGUAUGUAUUUUUUUUUUAAUUUUUUUAUUUUUUGUAUUUUAUUUUUUAAAAAAGGUCUAGGUAGUUAAAUUAUGUUUAGAGCUAUUUGGUGUUGUUUAAUCACUCAGUUGUGUCCAACUCUUUGUUGUGUCCAACACCAGGCUCCGCUAUGCAUGGGAUUUUCCAUCCAUUUAUUAGAGCUAUUUAAUAAAUAAAUAAAUUAAUAAUUUAUUUAUAAAUUAAAAUAUUUAAUUUAUAAUAAUUAGUGUAUGGUAUAGUCAGAUUAUUUUUUUGGAACAAGAAUUUAAAUUCAUCAAAAUUUCCCCCAUUAAAAUGUUAUCUGGCCUUUUUGUUUUGAUAAGGAUAUAUAGGCAAAUUUUAAUAAUAUAGUUCAUAUAUGGGGUGCUGGAUUAAAAGGUCUUCAUAAAAAGAUGUUAAAAGUCUUCACCAGUUUAUUUCACACUAAAAAGUAGGUCAAUAGAUGAAAAGGAUACCUCUGUUGGAUUGACAGGUGAAAAUGUGGCAGAUACCAAUGUUUCUGAUUAAUCUAGUAAUGUAGAACUAACUUCUAUUUUAAAAACCCAAAUUUACACUUUUCGUUCUUUAAAACAAUCUGCUUUUUCUUUCUGAUUGAACAUUCCACAUUGAAUUCAGUUAUUGUCCAAUGAUGGGGAUCUUGGCUAUUACUUCUGUGAGUAAAGAGCAAUGUAAGUAACGAAGUUUCUUUUCUUGGUUUGUGUGGUUUAUUCAAGUGUGGUCACUGAAGUAGCUCAAAAGAAUAAAAGGCUGUAUGCAUAAAACCAAAUAUAAGAACACCAAGUGUGGCCGUAGUGAGAAUGUGUUAUGGCCCAAGGAGUAGAAUGAACACAUUUCAGUACCUCUGAGAUUCAUCUUAAAAAGAGAUGGAAGGCAUUGAAUUAAAUUUUUCAAAACUGUUGUCUAUUCGAUAUUAUUUCUGCACCACAGUUGGUUUAGUAUUUCAAUAUUAUUAGAGACCCAGACUGUUAACUGUUUAGAGGAGGCUCUUAGAAGGGGCAACUUAUUGUGUGUGUUCUAGAUGUAGGGUACCAUUGUGGUUUUUGGAUGGCUCAUUACAUCAUGCUUAAAAUUGAGUGAAUUAAAUUUGUAUGGCCUAAUUAUGGCUAAUUUUUUGUGAUGGUCCUGAUAUGAAACAAGGUUACACUCGUAUCUAGCCUGUAAACUGUCAGAAAUCAGCCUAGAGGCAAUGAUUAGAGUUACAUCUUGUGACUGUUCUGGGAUCCUGUUCUGGGAGUUUGUGACUCAUGGGAUAAUGGAGGUAUAAAUUAGCAAAGACAAAGAGUACUAAGACUGGACCAGUCAUGAGAUGGGAGGGUGUCUGGAUCAAACAUUUUGAUUAAAGUGAUAUCUAACUCUGCGGUCCAUCAUUUACAAGUGGCCUUCUUUUCUUUUUUUUUUUCCCUUUAUGGAAACGAGUAUUCAGCAGAAGUUCAGAAUAUUCAGAUAUCUGGAUCACAGACAUCUUCUGGAGAUAGAUUGAUUUUUACGAGUAAAUCAAUGUAUGAGUAAAUGAAGAAAUGUAAAGAUGGGUAAAUAUAAAGAAAGCAUGGACCAGUUACGUGAGUAUGUAGCAAACAUGGAUUAUUAUUAUACAUUACUGGGGCACUGAAUGGAGAAGGACAUGAGAUUUCUUGCCUGGAGAACCCCAGGGACAGAGGAGCCUGGUGGGCCGCCGUCCAUGGGCUCACAGAGAGUCGGACACGACUGAGUCACCAAGCACAGUGCAGCACACAGCACUGAAUUUUAGUGAGAUAUAUUCAUAAAGGCUGUUGCUCUUUUUUCAAAGGAGUAUGUAUGCAGAUGAAUUUAAGAUUCAGUAGUAUUGCUUGGUGUAGGUGUUUUGCUAGUUGGCUGUUUAGAGAAGAGAAAAAUUACAAAUAAAUGCUGAUUGAGUAAUUAUUUAAUUGAUACAAGAAUGAACAUAGCUCAUCUUCAGAAUGUACCUCAUGAAAAUGGUUAUUGUUAAUCCAACUCUUUUCACUGAGUUUUAUUAAAAACAACAAAACCACCUCGUCUUUAAAUUUCUGUAGGUAUUGAAAUAGACAUAUGGAGAUAAUAAAUACUAUUUAAGUUUCUUAUCUAAUGUUAGUUAGUUCCUAGAUAUUGAUGUGUUCUUACAUAUAAAUAGAUGAAGUCCUAAUCACAGUCAAUAGUUUAAAAGGAGGCAAAUGUGGCUCAGUAAGAAAGAAUAAUGACUCAUCUUUAUGUAUACCCCUAAUUCUCUGUUCCUAGUUUAGAUAUGAACAUGUAGGCAGGUACAUGAAGAUCAUUUCUAUUUUGGGUUGUUUCUAUUCUGGAUUUCCAUCAUUUUCUUUGUGUGUUUAUAUAUUUGAACAUAUGGUCACAUAUUCCAUGAAUAAUUCCAUACCUGAAUAAAUACAGCAAUGAACAAUUGAAUUAAUGUGUGAGUAGAGUCAAGCAUAGACUUUGGUGAGAAUAUGCCAUGAAUGAUAAAUUCUAAAUUCAGCCAUUUCACUGCAAAUUGAGUCCAUUAAAAGGAUUAUCUAGGCUUUUACUUAGGUGGGUAGGGGUCUGUAGACAGGUAUGAGCAGUAGUAAUAGUUUUUAUUUUUGAGUAAUGAACUCAACUGUGCUCAUUGUAGGAUUUGAAAGUAUUAGUUAAACCAAGUAAUAAAAACGAGUGCUCUUCUUGGGUCAAAGAUGAAAGUGAGACUUGAGUCGACUUCAUGAUUAACCUAGGAUCACACAGCUAAUAUCCUUUAUAUCAGUCUACAUCUGGACAGUUCCUUCUUCUGAACAUUGGCAUUUGACCCCACAGAAUGAAGACUAUGGCUGCUUCAGUCUUCUCUGAGGAAGAUCUUGGCUCUUACCUUUGUGGAAUGGAUGCUCAUGAUUCAAUUAAGGACUGUAGAAACUUACAAUGGAUGCCUAUUAGCAGAUUUCAGCAUCGCCCAUGGUCAUGUGCUCUAUAGACCAAGAAAUGAAUGAAGAAAAAGAGAGUCAGCAUGAAGCAAUGAAGACAAUUGAUGCCACGUGAAUUAUAGAUGGUGAACAAUAUGUGUGUAUGGAACUCUGAGGUCCAACGCAAAACAUAAUUAAUCAGAUCCCUUUGUUGGAAAUGAUCUUGUAGAGACAGAUACUAGAAAUAUACAGAGAUCGUAUUCUUACCCUGAGUUCUUUGAUUAAAUUUAUUAUUGUUAAUGGAUCAAUAAUGUAACUAUUAAAGGAGUAUAAAUAAAUAGAUGAAGGACCAUUAGAGAAGUACUAAAGGAAUAGAUAAAAGAGAGUGAGGCAUUGUCUAACUGUGAAGAUAUGUGGUGAGGCAAGAGUUAUUAUUAAUAGAAAUUGAAAACACUGAUGCCUCUUCGGUAUCAAUUGAUCAAGGAUCACCAAGAGUCAGUUUUAUUUUCUGAAAAUUAGAGUCAGUUUUAUUUUCUAUGUCAAUCUUAAAUUUGAGGUUAUUCCUUUUGUUAAGAAAAAAUUAAAGUAUGAAAAAUUAGUGACUACCAAGGUGCUUUAAAUAAAUAAAAUAUGGAAUGGAAAAUCAGUUCAGACAAGGUCUCAUUUUUAUUGAAUCAUCUACUCUGCUUUGUAUUUCUCAGAAUGGACCAGUUGAGCUGACUGAAAAGUUCUUUCACGGACAUGCUCUCUAGUUGCCUCCAUGUCUUUGGUGUAUAGAGGCCCAUAAAGAGGACGCAGAACUCAGAAGUUCAUGGUGGCAUCACUAUAGGAGCGUCAAGCCCUCUAAUCAAUGCACUCAAGCGGAUAUAUGAAUUUUCCAUGGUUUCCUUUGUGUAUUGAGAGCCUAGAGAAGAAUAAUGGACGCACACCAAUGGGUUGAAGUAUCUUCCAUGGUCUUGGGCUCUAUAGACUGAUAAUGGAUGCACCUGAAUUGAUUAAGCAUCUGACUGUGAUCAGGACCUCCGCUGGUUUUCCUGUGUAUAAAUACAUGUGGGUCAUAAUGGAUCCUACAAGCUGAUCUCAGCUUCUGCUCUGAUAGGAUCAUCAUGUUGCCUCUGUCAGGAGGGCAACAAAGACCACUAAAUGGGUACACCUGGACUGAAAAGACCAAGAUCUCUAGGCUGCCAGUAUGUUUAAGAAAUGAGUAUAUGACUACAUAGAUGAAGAAAAUCGAAUAAGGACAGAUCUGUAUGAAUGAUGAGAAAUGAAAAUUUAUGAUUAAUUUGAUUAUGAUAAAUUUGAUCAUUUGGGAUGAUUUUAAAAACAGUUUGAGUCCCUGUCAUCCAUUUUUAUAGCUCUUUAAAUUUUUGUUUUAGGUUUUCCCUAAAUAUUCCUUAGUUGAUAGCAAUGUAAGAUAUUUUCAUCAUGAGGAAGAGCACAUUGGAGAUAAUGAACUGAACUGACGUAAGCCUUCUGCCAUGGCAGUGAAUUCUGUAUUAGCAAAGAGACAAAUGGUGGGUUCUCAAUGCUGUUCAAGUUUCCCAUGAUUCCUGUGAUCAGAAAACUUAUGGCUGCAUCUAUGUGUGGGAACCAGUAACAGACACUGGAGUGGACCUCAGCUCCUGCCACAAUGAAGAUCAUCGUAAUGUCUCUGUCAGGAAAGAGGCCAAGACUGGACACACUUGAGGUGAUUUAACCAUCUUCCAUGAUCCCAAGCCCUUUGGUUGCCUCUAUAUAUUCAUUAGAAGUAUGGUGACCAGUAAUGGAUGCCCUUGAACUGACUUAAGCAUCUUCCAUGGCCUGGAGCCCUGUGGUUGCAUCUGUAUGUUAGGACAAUGGAGAUCAAUGUGAGUACUAGUCAAUGUACUUGUCUUGGAUUAAGCCAUAUUUUUAAAAGAUAUUAAAAAUUAAAUAUCAUAAAAAUUCCAGAAAUCUGAUGUCAAAUACCAUCGAUGCAAAGCAAUAUGACAAUUAAUCCAUAGAUGAAGCACUGAGAUCAGUUAAUGAAAGAGUUGAGUGUCAGUGGAAAUGAUUGUUUAGAUGGAUGUCAGAGAUAUUCAAGGGUCUUACUCAUGAUUUAUUUGCAUAACUUACGUGCAUUUAAAUAAUCAUGAAUUAAUAAACAAAUGUAGAUUUUGGUAGGGAAAGAGCCCCUCCUGGACCAUAUGACUGGAAGCAUGGGAGUCUAUGGUGUAACCCUGAUACCUCACAAAGCAAAAUCUAGUCAAUCUUUGAUUUUAAAUAACCCCAGAGAUGGAUGUCAGGAAAGCACAAACAUCAUAUUCCAUUUUGAUUUAAAUGUAUUUUUGAUUUUAAAUGAUUUGAUUUAAAUGAUUUAAAUGAUUUAAAUGUAAUACAGAUUUAAAUGUAUUAAUGAUAAUCAAUAUGCAAACUGUUAAAAAUGUAAAAGGACAUGUAAAAAGCAGAAAGGGAAGGUUGUCCACUAGGAACAUAUGUGGUGAGGCAGGAAAUAUUAUUGAUAAAAUUGACAGCAUUCAUGCCCAUUAAGCUAGGCAUUUUGCCUUCUUACUGAAAAGGUCAUAAAGACACUGAUAUGUAAGAGCCAGCAUUGUUGUUCUGGGUCAGUUUCACGUUUAAGGGUUUCUUUUGUUAAGAGAAAAAAAUGCUACACUAGGAAAAAUUAAUAAAUGCCUAAAUGAGUAAAUGAAAGGUGGAAAACAUGGAUCAGUGGCGAUAAGGUCUCCAUUUUAUCAUGUUCUCUGCUCUGUACUCCUUAGAAUGGGUACACUUAAACUGGUAGGAGCAUUCUUCCACAGUCAUGAGAUCUCUUGUUGUAUUCAUGUUUUAGGACUGUGGAGGCCAUAUGAGUAAUAGAGAAAUUUUGGUCUUAGUUUCAAUGUUUUGUUUAAAGGUAUUGACUUUAUUAUUGCAAACUGUGAAAUACAAUCAAUGAAAUCCAGAUAGCCCAGUGUGAAAUAUGGGAUUAAUAUGAAGCAUUAUAUGAUUAAUUCAUAUAAUGAUGAUUCAUGAUGAUUUAUAUGAUCAAAAUGAAUGAAUGAAAGACCUACAACUGCGCCUUAGGGACCCAAAGAUGAACUUGGGUAGAAGAUGAGGGGUGGGCAAGUAACCCAGGGUAUCUGGAAACCUGAGGGCCAUGAUAGCAUAUCUCCUCUUGUCUACUUUUCUUUCUUCCUGUGGACAGAUAUUGGGAAUCUAUAAGUUAUAUUCUUAUGUUGGGUUAGUGAAUUUAGAUUUCUUGUUAUCAAAAGACAGGUCCCUUGAAAGGAUAUACCUACUAGAUUGAGUAGAAAAUGUCAGUCAGUGUCUCCUCUGGACACUUGCGGUCCUGCAAGAAAUAAUGAUAAAAAUUGCCUCUGUGGAUACACAUUUAGCAGCACAUGAACCUAAGAGGUCAACUCCUUGGCAAAUAGAGUAGGUCUUCCUAAACACAUGUAGAUGUACUACAGAAGAGUCACUUGUAUUGUUUGUAUACUCUCAGAUUUGAGUAUAGUUUUAUUUCCAGAAAACAAUAUCUUUGCAUUAUGAAAUAGGUAUUAAUUCCUCAUGAUUCAGAACAUGAAAUUUGGAGUGGAAGAAUCAGUGGCCCUAAAUUUUUCUUUCUCUCUCUUUUUCUUUCAUUUUCAUGGACUGGACUCUAUUCAUGGGAAUCGACGCCUUUGAGCUGAAUAAACUGUCAGUAGUCCGUGGUCAUGGACCUUAUGGUUGUUGAAACCCGUAGUGAAUGCACGGGAUCUGAUGGAGGGAUUCCUCAUGAGCACCGGCCUAGGAUGGCAUCUUUGCUGUUGGGACCAUAGAACCCAGACCCAUAAUAGAAGCUCAUGGUGAUUUCAGCCUCCAUGAUGAUCAAGGUCAUGUGCUUCAGGUUGCUACGAGACAGAGAGCCAGGAAGAGUCCUGAAGGAUGAAAACAUUUCUGAAGUGUCUUUCUGAGAUCCGACACAGAAUAUAAGUAGUCUAUGUCCUUUGUUGAAAUUGUUGUUGUCUGGUAUCAAAAAGAUCAUAUUCUUGUUACUUUCAUAGUUAUGGUAGUUAUUAACAAUGAAUCUAUAAUGAAAUCAUUAAACACAUAAAUAAACAUGUAAGGAAAACUUGUGAAAGUGUUCUCAUAUGAGUAUCUUCUUUUUAGAAAAGGUAUUGUGAAUAAAAAUUCAAAAUUGUGACUCCCGUUAAACUGGAGAGGGUCACUUCUUUGGCCAGAAUGCUAUAGACAUGCUUAUAUAAUAGCCAUUUAUUUUUCAGAAUAAACUUAAACUUCUUUUAAGAAGUUUAAGAAAUAAACAUAGAAUAAGUAAUGAAUAAUUAAAUGUGGUAUAAAUGAAAUGCCCCAAGUAAGGAUCAGUGGCGAUUUGGUCUCAAUAUUUUCAUCCCCUUCUGUGUUUUGCGCUCCUCAGAAUGAAUGCACUAGAGAUGAUAUAGAAUCUGUCGUGGGCACCAGAUCUGUGGUUGCCUCUGAAUAAUAAGAGAAUGGAGAUUAAUAUGAGUAAUAAUUGAAGUUCCAUUUUCAGUAUUUUUUAUUAAAGAAAUUCACUCAAUCAUUAAGAAAUGUGGAAUAAGAGUGAAGAAGGUAGCUACAUUUCUGUUUAGUAUGUAUAUAUGAACCAUUGUACUGAUUAAUCCUAAAUGGAAAAUGACUAUUAAUGUGAGAUAUAUUAAACUAGCAGUAAUUCUGUAUACACCAAAGCUCCUGUGUUUUUAAUUGCACUGCUAAAAUUGUUAGUGAAUUUAUGAUUUAUACAAUAAAGAAAUAGAAAUGUAUUUAGAAAAAGAGGGUCAAUAUUGGAUCAGUGAUGACUACCCGUGGCGUAUGAGUCAUGUAUGAUGAAUACAUCUCUGGAACUCUGAGAUCCAAUGCAAAUGGAAUUUAUUCCAUUGUGUUGUUUGAAGUGAUCCUAUAGUCAAAGGUUAUGAAUAUAAAAAGAUAUUUGUUUUGGUUAUUAUGACCAUGCAUUUUGUUUUCUAUUUUUAUGAUUUGAUGAAUGAAAUAGUUGCAAAUUUAUAAAAUAAAUAAUGAUGACUCUAAAGACUUUUCAAUAAUAAAAAUAUGUGGUUUUGGGAAAUAAUACCAACAUAGACUAAUACAUUAAUAUAUAUUGAAAAGACUGAUAUCCAUUAGGUAAAAAAGUCCUAGAAAGAUGUUAUCUCUUUGGUUAAGAGUGAUGUGGAAAAUGAUAGGUAAUAGUUACUGACUGAGUCAGUAAUCGAUUUGACAUUAGAUUCAUUAAGGGAAAAAGAAGUCGAUAUUAUCAUCAUUUAGUAAAUGACUAAGUAACUGUGCAAAUGAAUCGCAGAUUAUUGGAUCAAUGGGGAGAAUAUCUGAAUAUUUUUGUCACCUUGUCUGGUUGUUAUUCUUCAGAAGGGGUGUUCCUGCUGCUUCAGCUUUCACUGUGUUCAGUCAUCGGCUGUCUCCGUGUCAGGAAAACCCCAAGAAUGAAUGCAGUAGAAUGAUUUAACAUCUUGCAUGGACUCAAACUCUGUAGUUGCCUCUGUAUAAUAGGAUGAUGGAGAUUAAUAGUGGGAGCAUGAGAUCUGAAAGAAGGAUUCUUCAUGGAGCGCCUGCUUAGGAUGGCAUCUUUGUGGUUGGAACCAGAGACCCAUAACAUUAGCUCAAGUUGAUUUCAGCCUCUACUGUGAUCAAUAUCAUUUUUAGGAAAGAGCAAGAAUGAAGGCAGUGGAGAUGAUUUAGCGUAUUUCAUGGACAUGAGCUCUAUGAUUGCUUUGGAACAGGAGGAGGAUGAAGGUUAAUGUGGAUGUUUCUGCUAUCUCAGCUUCUGCUGUGCUUGGUGGUCACACCACCUGUGUGUCAGGAAGGAACUUAAAUAUUAUUCCGUGGCGGUGCACCUUCUGACUGACUGCACCUCUGUGUUAGGUCCACAGAGACCAGUAAUGGGUGCACUUAGGUGGAUGGAAGCAUCUUCCACGGUUACACUCUCUCCGGUUUCAUUUGUGUUGUGGGUAUGUUAAGACCAUACCCUACCCCCUCGAGCUGAUUUAAGCAGUGGUACCGUGAUAGUGACCCCUGUGUUUGCAUCUCCGUGUUAGGAGUACAGAGGCCAGUACUUGCCACAAUGGGCUGAUGUUCGCCUUCCUCGCGGUCAUGAAUUCUGCGGUUGCAUUUGAUGUGUUAAGGGUUUAGGAGAGCAAAAUGCUGGAGCUGAUUUUAGCCUCUGUUGUUACCAAGAUUGUGAGACCAAGGACAGAUGCAUCUUCCACCAUCAUGAGCUCUGGGGUUGCCUGUAUUUAAUAGGAAUACAGAGAUUAAUAAUGGACAUGAACUACUGUAAUGAUCAAGACCUUCAUGGUUCAAGGAUGGAUGGACUGUAGCUCAUUCAGUUUUUCCCCAACCAUGAAGAGCUUAGCCUAAUCCCUCUGGGGAAGGAGCACACCACGCCGUGAUGUUACUCAUUUAGGAAGUCAGUACUCCAUUUGUUGAGUAGGACAGAGGAUUCAUGGCUGUUCAUUGUAACAUCUAAAAAUUGUUCAAAUUAAAUGCUGAAGGACCACACCUGGACCAAUGAUGUGAAUGGAAUGCAUCUGAAUGAAAAUUAUGAUCAAUCAUGUUUGGAACCCCUGAGGUCCAUGGUGAAAAGACAAUUAGUGUAUGAUUCUUGGGAGAAUCAUCCCAGGAUGUUUGAGAAUCUAGUUGAGAGGGUUCAUAGAUACUGGCUUUAUACUAUCUGUAAAUAAAUGAAUGGAUCAAUAAAUAUAUUGAAAAGAAAAGAGAGGUCAAAACACAGACCAACUUGGAAGACAUUUAUAAAACAGGGAAAAUAUAAUUAGUUUCAGUUCAGUGUGAAAUUUCAGUUCUGAAAUAUAAUUAUUUCACUCACUCAAUUUGAAGUAUGUUGGUCCAUCAAGAAGACACACAUCAAGUUGUUACUGGUUUGUGUGAGAUACAGCUAAGCUAAAUAUAUAUCCUUCUCUUAGUUUGAAGUGGGUUUGAUUCAUUAAACAAAUGGUUAACUAAAUGAAUGAGUAUAAAAUAUGAGCCGAUGAUCAGUGUAUGUU
Molecule: long non-coding RNA, 10214 nt
Organism: Cervus elaphus (red deer)
Lineage: Eukaryota; Metazoa; Chordata; Mammalia; Artiodactyla; Cervidae
Exons: 32
Source: RefSeq, a predicted model, not a curated record